CUUGCGGUGUCCCUGCCCUGGGCUGUUUCCCUUCGGCUUCAUCUCAGCGAAUCACGAACACAUUCCACGGACUCACCUCCUUGGAAGCCUUUUGGAUUCUCUGCGCAGCCCAAGCUGCCCGGGAUCUGGGAGGCCAGGCUGAGUCUAUGGCCCCGGAGCCCGCCCGGACUUGCCACUGGAGACCUGGGGCCAAGGGCCCAUCCGAGCUGGGAAGAGAGGGCUAGAAAGAGAGCAUUAGAAUCGAGGGGCUGGGUGCGGAGGCUCACGCCUGUCAUCCCAGCACUUUGGGAGGCCGAGGGAGAUGGAUCACCUGAGGUUAGGAAUU
Molecule: long non-coding RNA, 325 nt
Filed under: Homo sapiens (human)
Lineage: Eukaryota; Metazoa; Chordata; Mammalia; Primates; Hominidae
Description: HSALNT0067465
Source: RNAcentral